UGGGCAACCUGCCCCUAGCUCUGGGAUAACUCCGGGAAACCGGGGCUAAUACCGGAUACGACCUCGAGCGGCAUCUCUUGAGGUGGAAAGUUUUUCGGCUAGGGAUGGGCCCGCGGCCUAUCAGCUUGUUGGAGAGGUAACGGCCCACCAAGGCGACGACGGGUAGCCGGCCUGAGAGGGCGACCGGCCACACUGGGACUGAGACACGGCCCAGACUCCUACGGGAGGCA
This 230-nucleotide ribosomal RNA is filed under the name uncultured bacterium. RNAcentral describes it as "partial 16S ribosomal RNA". It matches the Rfam family "Bacterial small subunit ribosomal RNA", at positions 118 to 350 of the family's 1533-position model. The record is from RNAcentral.